CAUUCUUCAUCUCAGCCGCUUGUCAUUACACUCAGUUGGGGACUUUCAAAAUCCUUUUAGGUACUCCGAGGUAUCUAGUAAAUUGUGCUUAAACAUAGUAUUUGUGUGCUGAAGAAUCAGACUUUUCAGCACUUACUCCCUUGCAGAAACAUCAAUCAGAACAAACAUGCACGUGGGAAAAUACUCUCAGAACAGCCGAGGGAGCCCAGAGAGAAGGACGCCGGCGGGGAGGACCUGAGGGUAGGUUGCCCAGCCAGCCUUCCCCGGGCUCAGUCCCAGCACGCAGCGGACAGAGGGCCAUCACCUGGCGAAGGGGAGAGGUAACGUUUAUGGAACAGAGUCAUCAUGGAACCCCCACCCACCGCCUUUGGGUCUGCUUAACCCUCCCUGUUACUUACGCUGCCCGGAGCAUCUGUUUCUUUCCUUCUGGACAUAAAGUUCAUCAUAAUAUGAGAAAAACAUGGCAUGGUGGCUUCAGCCGUGUCCAGUGCGCCCGUCGGCACUGCACAGGGAGUGGAAGAGGCAGAGGCACCGAGGGAAACUUCCAGUACCGCGGGGUUAGCACGUGAAGCUUGCACCAGUGGAGUUCAGGCCGAAGUACGGGGCAGACAGCGGAAAGGUAUCCACCGCGAAUGGAAGGAGUGCAGAGAGAA
Long non-coding RNA from Tupaia belangeri chinensis (Chinese tree shrew), 653 nucleotides. RefSeq lists it as uncharacterized. The record is from RefSeq and is a predicted model, not a curated record. The transcript is spliced from 4 exons. NCBI's taxonomy places the organism in Eukaryota, Metazoa, Chordata, Mammalia, Scandentia, Tupaiidae.